AAAUUGAAGAGUUUGAUCAUGGCUCAGAUUGAACGCUGGCGGCAGGCCUAACACAUGCAAGUCGGACGGUAGCACAGGGGAGCUUGCUCUCCGGGUGACGAGUGGCGGACGGGUGAGUAAUGUCUGGGGAUCUGCCCGAUAGAGGGGGAUAACCACUGGAAACGGUGGCUAAUACCGCAUAACGUCG
RNAcentral lists this ribosomal RNA (187 nucleotides) under Pantoea agglomerans. RNAcentral describes it as "partial 16S ribosomal RNA". It matches the Rfam family "Bacterial small subunit ribosomal RNA", at positions 1 to 181 of the family's 1533-position model. RNAcentral also lists the same sequence under 1 other name. The record is from RNAcentral. Lineage: Bacteria; Pseudomonadati; Pseudomonadota; Gammaproteobacteria; Enterobacterales; Erwiniaceae.